CUUUGCCUCUCUGAAUCUGCUAGGUACCCUGGGAAACUGUAUGCAGAGGCAGACCGAGCCCUCAUACCCAAGUUUCCUAACUUGGCUGACAGUGCAGGGACUGGCUAUGACUCGUGGCGAGAAGCUUUAAGGUUUAAAGCUAAAUAUGAGCGAAGAAAGCUCAGGCUGCAAGAACGCACUGAUGAUGGCCCACCACCUAAAAGACCGACAGUGGUCAACAGUGACAGUCUUGCCCCCAAAAGGAUCACAAGACCAUUUUCAGCUGCUGCCAUGGAAGAUGGAGAGGACAAGGAAACAAUUGACGCUCAUCUUGUGGCUAUGGCUAAAGAAGUGUCGAAGGCCCGGCCUGAUGUCAGUUACAUUUCUGACUGUAUGGCUAGAACAUUUGCGAG
Long non-coding RNA from Dermacentor silvarum, 392 nucleotides. RefSeq lists it as uncharacterized. The record is from RefSeq and is a predicted model, not a curated record. The transcript is spliced from 3 exons. NCBI's taxonomy places the organism in Eukaryota, Metazoa, Arthropoda, Arachnida, Ixodida, Ixodidae.